RNAcentral lists this ribosomal RNA (435 nucleotides) under uncultured bacterium. Its description in RNAcentral is "partial 16S ribosomal RNA". It matches the Rfam family "Bacterial small subunit ribosomal RNA", at positions 29 to 507 of the family's 1533-position model. The record is from RNAcentral.
AGCGAACGCUGGCGGCAGGCUUAACACAUGCCAGUCGAGCGGGCACUUUCGGGUGUCAGCGGCGGACGGGUGAGUAACGCGUGGGAACGUGCCCUCUGGUUCGGAAUAACUCAGGGAAACUUGAGCUAAUACCGGAUACGCCCUUUUGGGGAAAGGCUUGCUGCCGGAGGAUCGGCCCGCGUCUGAUUAGCUAGUUGGUGAGGUAACGGCUCACCAAGGCGACGAUCAGUAGCUGGUCUGAGAGGAUGAUCAGCCACACUGGGACUGAGACACGGCCCAGACUCCUACGGGAGGCAGCAGUGGGGAAUAUUGGACAAUGGGCGCAAGCCUGGUCCAGCCAUGCCGCGUGAGUGAUGAAGGCCUUAGGGUUGUAAAGCUCUUUUAUCCGGGACGAUAAUGACGGUACCGGAGGAAUAAGCCCCGGCUAACUUCGUG